UUUUAGUUCUAAAACUAAAUAACAAAGGGAGCCUUUAAUGAUUAAACAGUAAACAGUUAAUGAGUAAAACAGCAACAUGUCGGCUAAAGUGAUUGAAUUCAGAAAUGCAUUUGACUGAACAUUUUUUUUUGUAAUAGCCUUUAAUACAGCACAGCAAAGUUUAGAAACAGACGGAUUGGUGAAAUUGCUUUCCCCGACAUUUUGCGGUUACGUGAGGCUUGGUGACCUCAGAAUCAGUAGGAUAUUUAACAAUCACUCAAAUAGGCAGAUGCAGGAACAGCAUGAGGCUGAGUGAAUCACUCAUUCCGGUUCUUCCUUCAAAAUAAGUUAUAUUACAAUGCAGGUUAUAGACAUUCUUUCUGAUUGCAUGCUAAAGACAGUCUCUCCUCUUGCUACAGCUAAUUUUGUACGAAUUAAGUGGAUUAUAAUACAUUUAUAUAUUUGCAGGAGUUGAUGCAUUUUUCAUUAGGGCAAAUCUGGUCUGUGAUAUUGAGUUAGAACUGUAAAACUUUAGAGUACUUAAACAUCGAAUACAUUGUAAGUCUGCACUUUAGGCUACACUUUACAAUAGGACUCAACUGACUGACCCCGCAGCAUCUAUCAGUAGUAUAAACUGUGACACAAAUUGGGGGGAUUUUUCACCCCUAGUCGAGCUAUUAGACUAUCCUUUGGUAAAUUAAUGGAGGUGUGAAUGUUUCAGCCAGUCUCUCUCCUAUCUAAAGUCCUGCAUCAGGCCACAACAACAAAAAAAUCUGGCGGUCGGUCCCGGAGUUGAGAGAGAAGUUGGGCAAAUACAACGGCACAAUUACACUUGACAUGUGGACUGACGAUUUUCAAAAAAUAGGAUACUUGUACCUUACAACCCGUUACAUACUGAAGAGUGGAUGUUAUCCACUACGGAGUGGGACAGGGCAGCUCAAACUGCAGAGAACAGAAGACCAGCUAUUGUGAAAGAAUACUUGUGGAUCGUGUGGAUUUCAUCUAUUGCAUGAAGAGACCUAAUGUCCACCUGGUCAUUGUGUGGUUCCAAAGGAUAAAGCCUCACAUUCAGAUGGAUGUGUGGUUUCAGAGAGAAGCCAGCCUGCGACCAGGCACGGUGGUUAAAGCCUCCCCUUCAGAUGGAGGUGUGGUUUCAGAGAGAAGCCAGCCUGCGACCAG
Molecule: long non-coding RNA, 1158 nt
Organism: Oncorhynchus tshawytscha (Chinook salmon)
Lineage: Eukaryota; Metazoa; Chordata; Actinopteri; Salmoniformes; Salmonidae
Source: Ensembl